CAGGCCUAACGCAUGCAAGUCGACGGAACGACACUACGAUCCUUCGGGUGCGUUAAUGGGCGUCGAGCGGCGACGGGUGAGUAAUGCCUAGGAAAUUGCCUUGAUGUGGGGGAUAACCAUUGGAAACGAUGGCUAAUGCCGCAUGAUGCCUACGGGCAAAGAGGGGAACCUUCGGGCCUCUCGCGUCAAGAUAUGCCUAGGUGGGAUUAGCUAGUUGGUGAGGUAAUGGCUCACCAAGGCGACGAUCCCUAGCUGGUCUGAGUAGGAUGAUCAGCCACACUGGAACUGAGGUACACGGUCCAGACUCCUACGGGAGGCAGCAGUGGGGAAUAUUGCACAAUGGGCGAAAGCCUGAUGCAGCCAUGCCGCGUGUAUGAAUGAAGGCCUUCGGGUUGUAAAGUACUUUCAGUUGUGAGUGAAGGGUGUGUUGUUAAUAGCUGCGCAUCUUGACGUUAGCAACAGAAGAAGCACCGGCUAACUCCGUGCCAGCAGCCGCGGUAAUAGCGGAGGGUGCGAGCGUUAAUCGGA
RNAcentral lists this ribosomal RNA (528 nucleotides) under Vibrio sp. OT42. RNAcentral's name for it is "bacterial SSU rRNA". It matches the Rfam family "Bacterial small subunit ribosomal RNA", at positions 43 to 549 of the family's 1533-position model. The record is from RNAcentral. Lineage: Bacteria; Pseudomonadati; Pseudomonadota; Gammaproteobacteria; Vibrionales; Vibrionaceae.